CUAGAUUCGUUUCCUUUCUCCCAAGCAUCACGUGGUGGUUAUUUCUUUAGCUCUACUGUGUCUCUUGGCACUCAUUACAAUGCACAAUCAGAAACAUGCGGGUCUGCAUUGAGAUGGGAAACUGAUGCACAGUAUCUAGCCUAGCAUGACUAGCAAAAGCAUCCACCCAUUCAAACGUGCCCCCUCAUAUUUUUAGGCCAAGUGUCAAAGCCGUUCUCCUCCAUGUCAUGAAUUAUUUCACCUAGGGCACGGAGUGAUCCAGAACUGCCAUUAGCGGCCCCUCAGAAAAGCAGAAACGGGAUCACGACGCCCUUGUCUAGGAUAUUUCAGGCUUUAUGAAAAAUGCACGCCACUGUGGGGGAGACCAAUAUAGAUGUUUCACACGAAUAGGUUUUCGUAAUGUGAUCAUGGCUUUAAUCCCUUCAUCGGCGCUGCCUUUUAUCGGCUCAAAGUGUAGGCGGAGUCAUACAUAUGGAUAACGCAGCGUGACCAGGCUGUUAACAGGCCGUUCCCAGCACGCCGUGUGGGAAAGAGAUCUCACAGGGUGCGUGAGAUCAGUGCGGUAAGUCUCUUGCCAUCAAAAAGGACACCACAUCUGGGAUCUACAAGUUAAACCGGAGUUGUUAACCUUCAAAUUCCUGUAAUCUGGCGUAAGCGUGGUUCUGGCUUUUCCAACAGCUGUAGUCCAGCCCCAAACAUUCUCUAAUUUAGCUGCAUCUGAAUGUGAAUUCUUCCAAAAGUUCAUCAUUAACCCAGAACUGUUCUAAACUUAGACCUUGACUGAUUCUCGGGGGUAAUGAUGAUAAUGCUAAGAGCUCUCCAGAUAGCAGACACAAGCUUGGGUCAACAUCAUGGCUUUGGAAUGUGCAAUGGAAAAUGCACCCUAUAGUUGUCUUGUAAACCAAAGCUUCUGGAACCAGAAGGGAAGAGAGGUUGAGGUGAGUGUGAACUUCCACAAGUGUCCAAGUGUAGAAAAACAUCAGGGUUGUACGAUCCCAGUUUUAUUUGUCCGUGGCCAUAUUGUGUGGCAUAUUGCACUACAUUGUGGUUUAUUUACACCUCAUUUUUUUCUGACACGUCCCAACCCAUCUUACUCAUGAUUGUAUUCUUUGCCUUUAUCUAAUCAUUCCCUUUUCUAUUUUAACACAAAGGCAUUUGUGCAGAAUGCAUCUCCCCGCUGUGAGCCAAAUCAAAAUCUACUUUAAUGGAUGGAGGAAGAAACCCAAUACACUUUAGUCAAACAUAUAAGUUUGAUUGAUGAAAGUACAGCUCUCGCUCAAGUUCUUCUACCACUCCUGACACAUGUGGUGGUUCAAGUUAAGAAACCUUUCCACGGCUUUGUGGAUUACAUAAGGGGUACUGACCAGACAUGGCCGAGAUUAUCCUUCAUGCACUCCUGGUGGCAGUCCUGUGACUUGAGCAGACUCCAGGGGUCCUGGUUGUUUCUAAUCAUCUUUUAUGAGACAAAAUGAUCUCAUCAUCACUAUCUUUUUACGAGCCUGCAAUCCAGCUGUUGUUUGAGUUAAUCAUGAUGAUAUGUUCUGUGGUCAUUGAUGACAAUGUAGUCAACAAUGCUGGUCGCAUAAAGUUUGUUUUCUGUGCGAGAGUGGCCUUAGGGUGUAGGGAUUGCCCUCGUCAUCACACAUGGAUGAGGCUGGAGGCACGACCAGACCUGCAAAAACAAGUGCAAGUUGCCCUUUUUCGUAUGGCCGAUUUAAGCAGAUCCAUAUGUU
This is a long non-coding RNA of Triplophysa dalaica, 1733 nucleotides long. RefSeq lists it as uncharacterized. Lineage: Eukaryota; Metazoa; Chordata; Actinopteri; Cypriniformes; Nemacheilidae. The transcript is spliced from 3 exons. The record is from RefSeq and is a predicted model, not a curated record.